AAUCGCGGAUCAGCAUGCUGCGGUGAAUACGUUCCCGGGCCUUGUACACACCGCCCGUCACACCAUGGGAGUCGGUAACACCCAAAGUUGGUAGCCUAACCGCAAGGAGGGCGCCGCCUAAGGUGGGAUUGAUGACUGGGGUGAAGUCGUAACAAGGUAAC
This 161-nucleotide ribosomal RNA is filed under the name uncultured bacterium. RNAcentral's name for it is "partial 16S ribosomal RNA". It matches the Rfam family "Bacterial small subunit ribosomal RNA", at positions 1340 to 1500 of the family's 1533-position model. The record is from RNAcentral.